UUUGCCUACGGGGCGCAGCAGUGGGGAAUAUUGCACAAUGGGGGAAACCCUGAUGCAGCGACGCCGCGUGAGUGAAGAAGUAUUUCGGUACGUAAAGCUCUAUCAGCAGGGAAGAAAAUGACGGUACCUGACUAAGAAGCCCCGGCUAACUACGUGCCAGCAGCCGCGGUAAUACGUAGGGGGCAAGCGUUAUCCGGAUUUACUGGGUGUAAAGGGAGCGUAGACGGCAGCGCAAGUCUGAAGUGAAAUCCCAUGGCUUAACCCCGGAACUGCUUUGGAAACUGUGCAGCUAGAGUGCGGGAGAG
RNAcentral lists this ribosomal RNA (305 nucleotides) under uncultured bacterium. RNAcentral's name for it is "bacterial SSU rRNA". It matches the Rfam family "Bacterial small subunit ribosomal RNA", at positions 334 to 656 of the family's 1533-position model. The record is from RNAcentral.